This 461-nucleotide ribosomal RNA is filed under the name uncultured bacterium. RNAcentral's name for it is "bacterial SSU rRNA". It matches the Rfam family "Bacterial small subunit ribosomal RNA", at positions 33 to 507 of the family's 1533-position model. The record is from RNAcentral.
GACGCUGGCGGCGUGCUUAACACAUGCAAGUCGAACGGUGACCAGGGCUUGCCCUGGUGAUCAGUGGCGAACGGGUGAGUAACACGUGGGCAACCUGCCCCUGACUUCGGGAUAACUCCUCGAAAGAGGAGCUAAUACCGGAUACGACCACUUCGGACAUCCGAUGGUGGUGGAAAGUUUUUCGGUCAGGGAUGGGCCCGCGGCCUAUCAGCUAGUUGGUGGGGUAAUGGCCUACCAAGGCGACGACGGGUAGCCGGCCUGAGAGGGCGACCGGCCACACUGGGACUGAGACACGGCCCAGACUCCUACGGGAGGCAGCAGUGGGGAAUAUUGCGCAAUGGGCGAAAGCCUGACGCAGCGACGCCGCGUGAGGGAUGAAGGCCUUCGAGUUGUAAACCUCUUUCAGCAGGGACGAAGCGAAAGUGACGGUACCUGCAGAAGAAGCACCGGCUAACUACGUG